RNAcentral lists this non-coding RNA (24 nucleotides) under Drosophila melanogaster (fruit fly). Lineage: Eukaryota; Metazoa; Arthropoda; Insecta; Diptera; Drosophilidae. The record is from RNAcentral.
UGAUGUCAUUCAGAACUACCCAGA